Molecule: long non-coding RNA, 701 nt
Filed under: Medicago truncatula (barrel medic)
Lineage: Eukaryota; Viridiplantae; Streptophyta; Magnoliopsida; Fabales; Fabaceae
Description: lncRNA gene14245
Source: RNAcentral
UGAGCUCUUACUUUGAACGUCGUGGAGUACAAAGCUUCACUGCACAUAAGAUUCUGAAGCCAGUUGUUAAGAUUGAGAAAGAAGACAACAUUGCCACUGCGUGUUCUUCCUCAAGUGGAUCUCUUACCAUUGAAAUACCAGAUUUGCCGAAGAAGAGGAGAAAAUUAAUGUAAGAUGUAUCAUUGUCUAAUGCAUUUAACCAUGUAUAUAUGUAAGCUAUAAAUGUGAGCUAAAAAAAACUUGCGGAUUUUUUCAGAUUGCACUCCAACAAAUCAGGUGAUAAGGACCAGAAUGAAGAUGUGGAAGAUUUAGAAGAUUGAGAAGUUGGCUGCUAAGGAUUUAAGAGGAUUUGCUUUUGAAGUUGUUUUUCAUGGUUUAGUUUAUGUUUCUCUAAUCAAUAGAGAUGUGGAUUUCAGUUUAUGUUUUUUUGAGGUUGUGUUUUUUUUUUUUGAGGACUUUGUCUUUUUUGUUUUUAACCUAGACUACAUUAUUGGUUUAUGUUUUUUGGAUGUUGUGUUUUUUUAAGAAUAUUUUCUUUGGAUCAAUGUUGACUUUGACCUAAAUUAUAUUGUUGGUUUAUAAUGUUAUAUUGAGGGAUUUUGUUGUUUUUAAUGCUGACCUAUAUUUUGAAGACAAAGAUUAUGCAUCUAUAUGUUAAGGUGAAUGGUAAUCAUGUUUUCAUUCAUUUAUUGUUCACUUAA